AGCGUAGGAGACAAACGUUAUCCGGAGUUACUGGGCGUAAAGGGCGUGCAGGUGGCUUGAUAAGUUCGGCGUGAAAUUUCCCGGCUUAACCGGGGGAUGUCGUCGGAGACUGUCGAGCUAGAGGGUGAUAGAGGCGUGUGGAAUUCCGGGUGUAGUGGUGAAAUGCGUAGAGAUCCGGAGGAACACCAGUGGCGAAGGCGACACGCUGGGUCAUACCUGACACUAAAACGCGACAGCAUGGGGAGCGAACGGG
This 253-nucleotide ribosomal RNA is filed under the name uncultured bacterium. RNAcentral describes it as "partial 16S ribosomal RNA". It matches the Rfam family "Bacterial small subunit ribosomal RNA", at positions 524 to 776 of the family's 1533-position model. The record is from RNAcentral.